This is a long non-coding RNA of Mya arenaria, 3570 nucleotides long. RefSeq lists it as uncharacterized. The record is from RefSeq and is a predicted model, not a curated record. NCBI's taxonomy places the organism in Eukaryota, Metazoa, Mollusca, Bivalvia, Myida, Myidae. The transcript has 4 exons.
UUUGAGUUAACAGACAAACAAGACUUGUGAACUAGCUUAAUUUAUGACAUGAAUCGUAUUUCGAACAAUCGUGUUAAGGCAAGCUUGGAGGACGUGUAAUGCCGAUUAACGGUACCCGGAAAGACUGAUAGAUGGAAAAUUAGUUCGUUUUCCAACGCCUUUAAACGGAACAUUGAAAAGUGUAAAUGUUGGAUCAAAUCUAGUCUGGCUUCCAUAACUUUAAUGUUGAUAUUUAUUUUUUUGAUGUUUACUACACAUUGUAGUUAUGGCGUAACCCUCAUUCUAAAGUCAACCAGAAUCAACUGCCUACGAUGAUCCAAUUGAAUGACUCGGCAAUCACAUGACUGAUAACAUCGAUUCAUUCUAUUUUUAGCAUCAGCUUCACAUUGUUUAUUUAUUUUAAACCAAUUGCAGUUAGGUUGAAAAUAAGUUUUGGUAAAUAAAAACAAUUAAACUAUUCCAAAUUUAGUAUCUGUUAGAUUUCUAAUCAUUCAAAAUAGAAAAAUAACAGCAAAAUAAGCUCUACCUUUGUGAGGUCGAAUAUAUAUAUGUAGGUCACAUGGGUAUUUUCUGAAAAUCUUGUUAUCGAGCGAUUAAAUUUGAAAACAACUAUGACCUAGUUAAGGAAUGUUUAUAAUCGGAUUUAUUAUAAGGGUCAAACAGCUUUCUAUUUUUUUGGUUGUGAAAAGGUGUUUGUGAACUACAUUUUACUUCAUCUACCUGAGAAUAUUGUUAUUUUGUCUGUUCAAAGCAUACGAGUGAAAUAACAGCGUGACAUAAAAAAUGUCUGGUUGGGUUUGGAUACGGCGUUCUCUUCAGCGAGCACGUCCCAUUGGGUAAUAUAUAUAUAGCGUGUUCGCUGAAGUUCUUUAGCUAGAUCAAAUCUUGCGGGGGACCCCACUAAUCAGCUAACAGCUGGUUGGAUUAAUCAACAUAAAGCUUUGUGUACGAAGAAUUUUGUUGGUGCUAAUUGGCCAACAGAGAUACAUCCUGACCCGGUUCGAGCAGAUGGAUCUCUAGGUUAAAAUAAAAGACGUCUAAAAUGGGAUUGCCCAUUAAAAAUCUUAAACAAAUCGGUCCACAAACAAUUAUUUGGCCAAAUGGAUCCCACGAUGAUCCCAUGCUACACCUGCUCGGGGGCUGUUGGUCAAUCAUCUCUGGUGUCUAGCCUUAAGGGUGACCAAAACUAAUCCAACAGUCAGGAUAUCUUAACACAGGAAUGCGGAAAGGAAUCUGGGCUUUCCACACAGACUGAAAAUUUAUGGGUGUGUCCACUUGAUGUGUUGGGGUCGGCAGUAGAGAAUGCUCAGAUGAAACAGAAAGUGAUCACCCAGGGUGAACAACUGACACGCCUAAGGAGAGAUAUUUCAUCUAAAGACAAUGAAGUAAAGCAGCUGAUGUCACAUUCAUGUAGAAAGGAGGCUUUUAAUAUUGUGCAAAUAUCAUACUUGGAUAACAUACCCUCCUCAAAUUUGUAGUUCCUACAAAUUAUUAAGUGCCUAAUUAAGCUUUACGUAGUGAUUUAAAAUCAUUGAAAGUGGAUUAUGGCCAUUUUCUUACGUUUUUGUCAAUAAAGGCAUGAAUUUAGAAUUAAGGAAUGUCAGUAAGAUUUGGAUUAGGCCUACACUCAACAGAUGUUGUUUUUAACACAUUGAUUGAUAUUAUGUACGUUAAAUUGUGCAAACUUACAAUUUGGCCACAUAGAGACACCAUAAUAAAAGACAUGCCAUCCGAGUACAAAAAAGAAUUCCCCACAUCUUCGAUAAUUAUUGAUGAAACAGAAGUAAAAAAACAAAGUACAAGUGCUCUAGGUCAAAUGUACAGUGACCAGUAGUCAAAUUCAACUUUAAAAGCUUUAACUGGAUGUGAUCUAAAUGGUGGUUCAAUGUUUGUUUUAGAAUUAUUCUGAGGUACAAUUCCAGAUAAAGCAGAACAAUAUGUUUUUAUGAUGUAUGGAAAUAUUAAAAAGUCAUGGUUAGGUUAAAAAUGAAAAUGUUGUAAUAGCUGAUAAAGGAUUUGCCAAACACAAAUGUUAUAUUGAACAUUUAAUAUGUAAAGUUAAAACAUGCAAGAUGUUAAGUCAUUGUUUGCCAACUUCUCUGUUGCAAAACAUUUAUAAAAUAUGGUCAGUUUGUUGUUACCUGACACUUUUUCAGGAUGUUUCACUUUUUCAGGAUGUUUUGUAAAAGGACAAAGUUAAUCCAAAUAGCAAAUAAAGGACAAAGUUUAUUCAAGUAGCUAAACAAUAUUGGAUCAUAAUUUCAUUAAAGAAUGCACAUUUCUUUGGCAUACUUUUUUGUAUUUUAUUAAUUUAAGUGAAUAUUAACUUAUAUAAAGCAUAAUGUUCAAUAUUAUUGACCUAAACUGGAGUAAUAUCCUUGUUUGACAAUAUCGAUUCGAUUUGAACAUCAACCAGUGCAAUUGAUACUGUUGGUACGUUGUGAAUGACUUUCUAUCAAUGGCGUGCCUUUUAAUUCUGAUGAAUGUGCCAAUUCAUCUCUAAUUUUUGUUAACCUUAAAAUCAAAUGCAGUGUACGGCCAUUGCUUAAAUAGCACUUUGGGCAUUUUUCCUGUACUAGCCUUCCGAUUUUAGAUCUCAUGAUAUUGACUGUGUAUUUAUUGAAGGCAAUCGCUUACAAGUGUGAAAGUAUUGUUUACACCAUCGGUGAAGUUCUAUAUUAAGGACACAAUGAUUUGCAAAACAUAGCUACAACAUUAGAGAUCAGCUAUAUGAUGUACCCUUUUACGCCAGAUAUAAAAUAUGGUUUAAUUAACAGAAAUGCGGAGUUGCAUUUAGGCCAAAUGACAUUCAAUGGCGCCAUUUCUCAAGCAUGCGUGUCACUUUAUCAAAUAUUGACCGUUAUUGGUCCUACAUUCGGUUUGAAUAUCAAUCUAAAAAAAAAUUAUAUCCUUUUAUUUGAUUGGCAUGAAAGAAACAUACAUGGUACACACUGUGAUGAUGAACAGCUGAUGUGCCAUGAUACUUUAGAUGAGUUAUUUCAUUUUCUUUUUGUUCAGUAUACAGAUUUUGCUAAUGAAUUGACACCGGUCUACUUGUAUUUAUUUUUAAAACUUGUGGAUAAUAAGAACAACGCUGUGCAGAUUCAUUAAGAACAUUCUAGGGUAAUACUGCAGAAGCAUCUUAAAUGAAGUCUUAUCAUUGACAUUUUCGUUGACUGACUUAUUUAAACAUUUAGGAUAUUUGUGGUUAAUUUUAAUUAAAUAAAUGAAUAUUACUAUUAUUUUUAUGCUAAAGCAGUUAAAACAUCUUGAAGUUCUAAUAUGAUUUUGAAAAUAUAUUAUUUUUAGUUUUUUUAUAAUUAAUCAAAAAUAUUUCAGUAUAUCCGUAAAACUGGCCCUGCUGUAUUGCUUUAAUUUUAUAUUGAUUUAUCAAUAUGCUGUAUAUGCAUUAGAUAAUAAACAUUCUGUUCUGUUUUGGUUUUUGUACUUUUACAUUCCUCUCAAUACAGAACAGGUAGUUUAUUCAGGCCAUUAUAUUCUUGUUAAUUGUUGAGUAUAUGCAUCGUAUGAUUUUUAUGCUUUUAUGCUCAUUAAAUUUAUACCAUAAGA